UGAACGCUGGCGGCGUGCCUAAUACAUGCAAGUCGAGCGAACAGACGAGGAGCUUGCUCCUCUGACGUUAGCGGCGGACGGGUGAGUAACACGUGGAUAACCUACCUAUAAGACUGGGAUAACUUCGGGAAACCGGAGCUAAUACCGGAUAAUAUAUUGAACCGCAUGGUUCAAUAGUGAAAGACGGUUUUGCUGUCACUUAUAGAUGGAUCCGCGCCGCAUUAGCUAGUUGGUAAGGUAACGGCUUACCAAGGCGACGAUGCGUAGCCGACCUGAGAGGGUGAUCGGCCACACUGGAACUGAGACACGGUCCAGACUCCUACGAGAGGCAGCAGUAGGGAAUCUUCCGCAAUGGGCGAAAGCCUGACGGAGCAACGCCGCGUGAGUGAUGAAGGUCUUCGGAUCGUAAAACUCUGUUAUUAGGGAAGAACAAAUGUGUAAGUAACUAUGCACGUCUUGACGGUACCUAAUCAGAAAGCCACGGCUAACUACGUG
This 495-nucleotide ribosomal RNA is filed under the name uncultured bacterium. Its description in RNAcentral is "partial 16S ribosomal RNA". It matches the Rfam family "Bacterial small subunit ribosomal RNA", at positions 30 to 507 of the family's 1533-position model. The record is from RNAcentral.